This 522-nucleotide ribosomal RNA is filed under the name uncultured bacterium. Its description in RNAcentral is "bacterial SSU rRNA". It matches the Rfam family "Bacterial small subunit ribosomal RNA", at positions 988 to 1509 of the family's 1533-position model. The record is from RNAcentral.
CCAGAGAACUUAGCAGAGAUGCUUUGGUGGCCUUCGGGAACUCUGAGACAGGUGCUGCAUGGCUGUCGUCAGCUCGUGUUGUGAAAUGUUGGGUUAAGUCCCGCAACGAGCGCAACCCUUAUCCUUUGUUGCCAGCGAUUCGGUCGGGAACUCAAAGGAGACUGCCGGUGAUAAACCGGAGGAAGGUGGGGAUGACGUCAAGUCAUCAUGGCCCUUACGGCCAGGGCUACACACGUGCUACAAUGGCGCAUACAAAGAGAAGCGACCUCGCGAGAGCAAGCGGACCUCAUAAAGUGCGUCGUAGUCCGGAUUGGAGUCUGCAACUCGACUCCAUGAAGUCGGAAUCGCUAGUAAUCGUAGAUCAGAAUGCUACGGUGAAUACGUUCCCGGGCCUUGUACACACCGCCCGUCACACCAUGGGAGUGGGUUGCAAAAGAAGUAGGUAGCUUAACCUUCGGGAGGGCGCUUACCACUUUGUGAUUCAUGACUGGGGUGAAGUCGUAACAAGGUAAGCGUAGAUGA